This is a long non-coding RNA of Equus caballus (horse), 3671 nucleotides long. The record is from Ensembl. NCBI's taxonomy places the organism in Eukaryota, Metazoa, Chordata, Mammalia, Perissodactyla, Equidae.
UCUCAACCAUGACAAAUGCGAUGGGGAAAUCUGAGUUGAUGGACUGAAAAUCUUGAAUCUGAAUUCCUUUGAAUCUUCUGAGCCCACAGAAGUAGCCCACUCCUCCCUUUGAAGAUGGAAGUGCAUGUUGUAGAGGAUAAAGUCUGUCCUGCAUGCUGUGCAGUGUCCUGGUGAUACUGGCCCGGACUCACUGAUGCUGUCAUGUCCUCAUGGUCUCUAAGUGAUUUGAUACCUCUGUGUGCUGUCUCACAGUCUCUUGGCCUCACUUCUGACUCCAACUAUGGCUACGGCAAACAGUUCUUGUGGCCUUUGACUCACUAGCAAUAUCUCACCUUAAGCACACACCAGCCAUUUUCAUUUGCUGUCCCAGUCCUUCUCUGACAGCGGAAUGGUAAGUUGCAGGAAGCAUGCUCUACACUCAUGUGGAGCCUGGGAGUGAAGGAAAAUUAAUACCCCCAGGGCAUCUCUCAACCGAUAAGUGAAGGAACCUGAGACUCUUAAACUGUUAGGUUUUCCUGAACACUCCAUGCUGGCAGAAGGAACUUCUCCUUUAUUAUGGAAGAGCAACUUCUCAAUGCCUAAACACCUUGAAAAGGCCUUACCUGAGGAAGACGCCUUGCAAGGUGUCGCUUUUUCUCCUCAAGAUCCACUACCACUCAACCCUUUUUGCCAAGACCAGUAACUUGGGUCUUGUCUCAGCACAGCCUGAACAAAGAUUCUGGAUUUACCAUCCUGGCAAACAGACCUGGAACCAGUUCUAAUCUGCUGCUGGAUUCCUUGAAGGUUGUACACAAUGAUGGUGCACAGUAAAUGAGGUGGAGAUGCCAGAACAACCUAGACAGAAAAUUGAAGAAGGAGCCAAAAAGCUGAGGAAGGAGAAAAUGUUAGAGUGGAUUUAUAUGAGACCAGAAAAUCCCACUGACUAUUCACUGGAAGGACCCAUAGAUAUUCCUUUACCAAGGCUGUAAUGAAGGUUCUACUGAAAAGUAGAUUUUAGAAGCUCAGUGAAGACUUUCACGUGUUGGUAUGAUAGUAAAAUGUGCUACCUUGAUACUGAGCUGCUUUGUAUUAGUGAGUUGUGAAAUGAUCCCAGAAUAGCAAAGGCCAAGUGGCAGCACUUAACUUUCAGAAACAAAGUAGAUAUGAUUAUCAUAAUGGGAAGGGCCAGGAUAGCAAUCGAGGCGCCUUUACUUGAAGGGUUCUAUGGUAAUGGCUCAUAGAUUAGAACGUUCCAGAGAACGAGAUAGAUGGACAGCCCACAAAAGUGUUCUUCAACUUGAAUUAAUGUAACCCCCUCCCUUGACAAAAAAAAAAAAUCAAGAGGUGGCUGCUGUUAGCCAAGACAAUGAAAAACUGUAGUCCUUCACCCAAAUUGGAGAUCUAAAUUUGUUCACAGACCCAGAGCUUAUUAGUCAAAGGGGGAGCUUGUUUCUCUUGAGGAAGGACCCUAUAAUGCUAUCAUAUGUGUAUACCAUAAAUAUUCUCCAAAAUUGACCUACCAGAGUAACUAUGCAAAAGGAAAAUGGAAUACCUAGCCCUUUCAAAGACAGUUGAAUACAGGGUCUGAGCUGACUCCGAUACAAAGGACCCAAAAUACUAUCCCAGAGCUUCAGAUGGAGGCUCAUGGAGACCAGGUGAUAAACAGAGUUCUGACCUAAGUCUUCCACAGAAGGUUCAUUGAAUCCACAGACUCAAUUUCCAAUUCUCAAGUGUAUAAUUGGGGUAGAUAUACUUAAGAGCUGCAGAACACUAAUUACUCACUGCCCUAUGGAGUGUGAGUCAAAACUCUAGGAAAUUCCUGAGGUUGCCUCCAUCCUCUUGCCAAGAAAGUUAAGCAUAAGUAGUACUGCAUUCUAGGAGGAAAUUUGGAGAUUAGCCCUAACACCAAAGAUUUAAAGGAUGCAGUGAUGGUGGUCCCUACAUAUGCUUAUUAAAUUCAACUGCACAGAUCCUGAAACAAUAAAGCCUAUGAGUGUGGUGGAAGACAGUGGACUCCUAUAAACUCCACCAAGUGUUAUGGUCAUCCCUAUUCAUCUGCUGCACUGGGUAUGAAAUCUUUAUGAAACAGAGCAACCCAGACUUUGGUACUGGAUAUGAGGCUACCGAUCUGGUCAAUGUGUUCUUCUCUAAUUCUAUCAGGAGAGAGGAUCAAAGGCAGCUUCCUCUUAUGUGGGGAGGACAACAUUACACAUACACUUUCUUUUCCCAGGGCUAUAUUAAGUAUCUUGCUCUCUGUCACAAUGUAGUCACCAGGAGCCUUGAUCAUAUUGACAUUCGUCGGGAAUCAUGCUAGUCCUUAAUAUUGAUAAUAUCAUGCAAAUAAGACCUGGUGAACAGGAAACAGUAAGUACUCUGGAUCCCUAGCAAGAUAAAUACAUGUCAGAGGGUUGGAGAUAAACUACAUGAAAAAUUAGCUGCCUACCAUAUUAAUGAUCUUUUUAGAAGUCCAAUGGUCUAAGAUAUGCUGAGACAUCCCUUCUAAGGAUGAAGGCAAUUUUUGCGUUUUGUGUCUUCUACUACUAAGAAGGAGCCACAGGACUUAGUGUGCCUCUUUGAAUUUCUGACUGCAUUUGGGAAUAGUUCUCUAAUGCAUUUGUCUGGAAAUUUGAAAGAGUGACAGUUUUGAACGGGGCCCAGAGCAAAAUAAGGCUGUGUGACAGGUUUAGGCUGUGGUCCUAGCUGCUCUGCUACUUGAGCUGUAUAACCUGGCAGAGUCAAGGGUACUAGAACUAUCUGUGACAGAGAGAGAUGCUGCUUGGAAUCUCUGCCAAACCCCAAAAGGAGAGACACAAUGCAGAUCCCUUCCACAGCAGAGAACCACUUACCAUUUUAAAAGCACCUCCCACAGUGCUGCUGGGUCCUGAUAAAGACUGAGCACCUAAUAACAGCUUACCAGGUAAGUGAAGCUGUCAAAGUUGAGCUGGAUAUUAUCAGAUUAUCCAAAUCAUAAUAUUGGGUAGGCACAGCAGCAAUCUACUAGACACUGAACAAGAGAAAUGGUAUAUUGAGAAUCAAGCCCGAGCAGCCCUAGAGAUGUAAGUUACAUGAAGAUGGGCCUCUACAGAUUAGUGACGCUUCUCCUGCACUUCAUAUCUAUGACCUUAUGGCAUGAGGUGUUUCCUAUGACUAAAUGAUGGAGGCAGAAAAAAACUGAAACCUGGUUAACAAUGUCUUUUUUCUCCCACUCCGCUGGUUUGAGCUGAAAAUGAAUGGCUACAUCAGGACAGCCCCAUUCAGACAUGAUACUAAAGGACAGUAUUGAGAUCAGUCAAUUUGCAGCCCAGUCUGGAGUAGUGUUGUCACAGACAAGAUGAGGUGAGAUGCAAGUUGGGCCACUGACGCAUCUUUUGCGGGGAGGAACUACAAAUGGAAAGCUGAAGAACACUAUGGCAUUUCUGGCAGUCAAGAUUUGGAAAGUUACACACUAAGAAGCUAUAAUAUGCUUAAGGAUAAUUUCCACCUAAUAAAGAGAACAGAAAUUUUGUUUAUGCAACCAAAUAGAGAGUUACUGUAUAGAGCAUAUAUUUUCUGAAUCAAACAGAACAGAGAAUGACGGCAUUGAGACAUGUAGAAAUACCCUUAUAAUGACAGAGCUGUCAUGUGGAAUCAUGUGUUAUUUCAUGUGUCCAUUCCAUCUGAAUGAGCAAUAAAACCAUCUUGGAAAAGAAUAA